This 497-nucleotide ribosomal RNA is filed under the name uncultured bacterium. RNAcentral describes it as "partial 16S ribosomal RNA". It matches the Rfam family "Bacterial small subunit ribosomal RNA", at positions 28 to 507 of the family's 1533-position model. The record is from RNAcentral.
GAUGAACGCUGGCGGCGUGCCUAAUACAUGCAAGUCGAGCGAACAGACGAGGAGCUUGCUCCUUUGACGUUAGCGGCGGACGGGUGAGUAACACGUGGGUAACCUACCUAUAAGACUGGGAUAACUUCGGGAAACCGGAGCUAAUACCGGAUAAUAUUUCGAACCGCAUGGUUCGAUAGUGAAAGAUGGCUUUGCUAUCACUUAUAGAUGGACCUGCGCCGUAUUAGCUAGUUGGUAAGGUAACGGCUUACCAAGGCAACGAUACGUAGCCGACCUGAGAGGGUGAUCGGCCACACUGGAACUGAGACACGGUCCAGACUCCUACGGGAGGCAGCAGUAGGGAAUCUUCCGCAAUGGGCGAAAGCCUGACGGAGCAACGCCGCGUGAGUGAUGAAGGUCUUCGGAUCGUAAAACUCUGUUAUUAGGGAAGAACAAAAGUGUAAGUAACUGUGCACGUCUUGACGGUACCUAAUCAGAAAGCCACGGCUAACUACGUG